Molecule: ribosomal RNA, 406 nt
Filed under: uncultured bacterium
Lineage: Bacteria
Description: partial 16S ribosomal RNA
Rfam family: Bacterial small subunit ribosomal RNA
Source: RNAcentral
AUUGAACGCUGGCGGCAGGCCUAACACAUGCAAGUCGAGCGAGCGGCGGGCGGGUGAGUAUUAUCUCGGAGACUGUCUGAGGGAGGGGGAUAACUACUGGAAACGGUAGCUAAUACCGCAUACCAUCUGAUGUGCCCACAUGGGAUUAUCUCGUAGGUGGGGUAACGGCUCACCUAGGCGACGAUCCCUAGCUGGUCUGAGAGGAUGACCAGCCACACUGGAACGGAGACACGGUCCAGACUCCUACGGGAGGCAGCAGUGGGGAAUAGUGCACAAUGGGCGCAAGCCUGAUGCAGCCAUGCCGCGUGUGUGAAGAAGGCCUUCGGGUUGUAAAGCACUUUCAGCGGGGAGGCGUUACCCGCAGAAGAAGCACCGGCUAACUCCGUGCCAGCAGCCGCGGUAAUAC